Molecule: long non-coding RNA, 713 nt
Filed under: Nicotiana benthamiana
Lineage: Eukaryota; Viridiplantae; Streptophyta; Magnoliopsida; Solanales; Solanaceae
Description: long non-coding RNA (NBEN_LNC022400)
Source: RNAcentral
GGAUUCAGAUUUCCAAAGCCUUCUCUUUAUAUAGGGUGUUUUGAAGUUUCAAGGAAUUUCAAGAAUUUCUGGCAUUGCUUACACCCAAGAUACCAUUAGAAUAGAAACAAUGCAGUGUGAAAAAACCAACUCUCAGGCAUCCAAGUUCAGAGGGAGCUCAAGGGUCCCAAAGCAAGGCUUGCAAGAGAGGGCAGAACUUAAUAACUAAGAAUAAGUAUAAAUGUGAAAGGGGUUUGGGAAGCCAUAACAGGUGGUGGCCAUGCCCAGCCACAAAACAGGCUGGCACACCUCUGACAAACCUAUUUGGUCAAACAAAUAAGAGCAGACCUAUUGAAGGUCUAAUCAGGGUAUGGACAGUGAUUAGUACACUGCCACACCAAGGUCUAAGGCUAAAGCACACAUAAGCGGAAAGGGAGUGGGAAUUAUUGAGUUUGGGAUUCAAAGAAUCCAGUCGAGCCACAUGAACAACAAUGUUUAAGCAUUGUCAUGCAUUAUGAACCAUAACUCACAUACAAAGAGGGGUUGAAGGAGAGGGAAUUCAGUCAAUAGUAAAAACAACAAAUAUGAAGAAGCAGUAAAGUAAACACACGAAAGAACUGAAAUGUAAGCACGUAGGGAAGAUGCAAUAUUAAACAGAAGGGACAUACUAGUUGCAAAAAUAAACACAAAAAGAAGCAGAACACUUGUAGCCGCGGACAAACAAAAAAAUCAAC